UACGAGGGGGGCGAGCGUUGUUCGGAAUUAUUGGGCGUAAAGGGUGCGUAGGCGGUUUGGUAAGUCUUGUGUGAAAUCUACAGGCUCAACUUGUAGUCUGCACGAGAAACUGCCGGGCUUGAGUGUGGGAGAGGUGAGUGGAAUUCCUGGUGUAGCGGUGAAAUGCGUAGAUAUCAGGAGGAACACCUGUGGCGAAAGCGGCUCACUGGACCAUAACUGACGCUGAUGCACGAAAGCUAGGAGAGCAAACAGG
RNAcentral lists this ribosomal RNA (253 nucleotides) under uncultured bacterium. Its description in RNAcentral is "partial 16S ribosomal RNA". It matches the Rfam family "Bacterial small subunit ribosomal RNA", at positions 524 to 776 of the family's 1533-position model. The record is from RNAcentral.